AAAAAGCUUGGUAGUUGAACCUUGGGGCCUAGGGGGGCUGUUCCCCCUCAGCGGCGUGCACUGGGUCGGGGGGGUCUUUUCUUGGGGAGAACCCGCAUGCCCUUCAGUGGGUGUGGCGGGAAACCAGGUUUUUUACUAAGAAAAAAUUAGUUUGCUUAAAGAAGGCUUAUGCUAGAAUACAUUCGCAUGGAAUAAUAGAAUAGGACGUGUGGUUUUAUGNNGUGGUUUAUAGGACCGCCGUAAUGAUUAAUAGGGACAGUGGGGGGCAUCAGUAUUCAAUUGUCAGAGGUGAAAUUCUUGGAUUUAUUGAAGACUAACUACUGCGAAAGCAUUCGCCAAGGAUGUUUUCAUUAAUCAGGAACGAAAGUUAGGGGAUCGAAGACGAUCAGAUACCGUCGUAGUCUUAACCAUAAACUAUGCCGAUUAGGGAUCGGACGGCGUUAUUUUUUGACCCGUUCGGCACCUUACGAUAAAUCAAAAUGUUUGGGCUCCGGGGGGAGUAUGGUCGCAAGGCUGAAACUUAAAGAAAUUGGCGGAAGGGCACCACCAGGGGUGGAGCCUGCGGCUUAAUUUGACUCAACACGGGGAAACUCACCAGGUCCAGACACGAUGAGGAUUGACAGAUUGAGAGCUCUUUCUUGAUUUCGUGGGUGGUGGUGCAUGGCCGUUCUUAGUUGGUGGAGUGAUUUGUCUGCUUAAUUGCGAUAACGAACGAGACCUUAACCUGCUAAAUAGCCCGUAUUGCUUUGGCAGUACGCCGGCUUCUUAGAGGGACUAUCGGCUCAAGCCGAUGAAAGUUUGAGGCAAUAACAGGUCUGAGAUCCCCUUAGAUGUUCUGGGCCGCACGCGCGAUACACUGACAGACCCAGCGAGUACUNCCUUGGCCGGAAGGUCCGGGUAAUCUUGUUAAACUCUGUCGUGCUGGGGAUAGAGCAUUGCAAUUAUUGCUCUUCAACGAGGAAUCCCUAGUAAGCGCAAGUCAUCAGCUUGCGUGAUACG
RNAcentral lists this ribosomal RNA (999 nucleotides) under Ascomycota sp. RNAcentral's name for it is "SSU rRNA". It matches the Rfam family "Eukaryotic small subunit ribosomal RNA", at positions 621 to 1649 of the family's 1831-position model. Lineage: Eukaryota; Fungi; Ascomycota. The record is from RNAcentral.